CAGGCCUUGCCUGUGUCAGCGAAUAUCACCAGAUGCCACGUGUACCCCUACCCUAUUCUGAACCACACCUGUGUAAUCGAUAAAUACGGAUGGUCCUGGUUCCUUGCUGUCCUCACCACAUGCUAGGUGUAGUCCAUCCCACUUCCUUGGUUUCUGUUAGCAGGCUGUCCAUCUCAGUAGCUGUGCUGGGGGAGUACAGGAAGUGAUCCUUGUGUUCAUCCACUUGGUAGAGGAAUGGCAAGGUGUAUGCCCGUGUGUCAAAGUAUCAACAGAAUUAGCCCAAGUCAGUACAAUGUCACAUGAAAAUCUGCUUUUACAAUUUUGGGAGGAGGUUGAAAGUGAGUCAUCAGGUGACUCAGGUACUGAUGAUGACUUGGACCAUGCACGCCAAAGAAAUUGUGACAAUGAGAUGGAGCAAGACAUACAGAUAGAGAAAUACAGAAUGAUACAGAUCAGGAAGAAAACAGUAAUGUAAAUAAAUAUUUGACUAGUCAAAAUGGUACAAAAUGGUCAUGUAUACUUGAACGAUCCAGUGUUAGAACUAGGUCAGAAAAUGUUAUUGGGUGCUUGCCAAGGG
Molecule: long non-coding RNA, 577 nt
Filed under: Heterocephalus glaber (naked mole-rat)
Lineage: Eukaryota; Metazoa; Chordata; Mammalia; Rodentia; Bathyergidae
Description: lncRNA (ENSHGLG00100033310.1)
Source: RNAcentral